This is a long non-coding RNA of Corapipo altera (White-ruffed manakin), 5478 nucleotides long. RefSeq lists it as uncharacterized. The transcript is spliced from 6 exons. The record is from RefSeq and is a predicted model, not a curated record. NCBI's taxonomy places the organism in Eukaryota, Metazoa, Chordata, Aves, Passeriformes, Pipridae.
UUUGAUGUGUGUCCUCGGCCCCAUUCAUUUGCUAGAUGUUUUCCUCCUUUGAUCUGUUGGUAAUGGUGUUCAUUUAGGAGAGGUAUUCAGCCGAGCAGGCUUCGAUAUUCUAUCAAGGAAUUUGAAUAAAUACAAUUAUUUCUUAUUUUCUAACAUGGAAUAGCUGAGAGCUUUAGGCAUAGAAAAAGCAUGGGGCAAAAAGGAAUUUCAGGGCUCCCUUUAACAGCUUUACAAUGCAGUCAGUAAAUCUGGCUUGUUAAUGAAAUAUUCGUAAUAGCUACAAUUAGGGCCUCUGCUGACUUUGAAUUGAAAAUAAUUUUUUUCAAUGAACCUUUCAAUAUUAUAUUUUGAUUGCCAUGUUGCUGGCUUGGUUGAUCAUAGUUUUUAUGUGAACUCUUAUCUUUCCUAAGUGGAAGAGCAGGGAUGUCGUAUAAUAUCUAUUUAAAGCACGACCAGUGUUCAUCAGUCAACAGAUUUUUUGGCAAAUUAAAUAUUCCUGGUUAUUAAUAUUGGUGGGAAAAAAAUGAAUGUAUUUUUUGAAUGCAAGUAAGGAAAAAUAGUUCCAACACUUUUUUGAGGGGUGGGUCUAUUUUUGUAAUUUUUUAACCAUGCUUGCUCCCUAGGAGAGUUGGUUGCAGAGAAAGAAUGGUACAGCAAGAUAAUGCCAUGUUCUCUCCCAGCCUCUGCCUAGCAAAAGGGAAAUGUGCUGGAGAUUUAUUCUGUUGCCUGGAGCUGACAGACUGACUUCUUCCUGCCCCUGGAAUGGUGCAGGUGGGCCAGAACACUUGCACCAGCACCCUGGUUUAACUUUUUUUUUGGUGAGAACAAGUGCAUGAGUGACCUGGUUAGCAAGCACUGUGCUUUACUUAUUAAGCAGUGACUAAUACAAUGCAAAGGAUUAAUUUUGAUUUCUCCACCAACCGCUUUCCCCUCCCCCACACUCUUACACUCUUCUUAUUCCUGCUUUUUUCUUCUCAAUCUCUUACAGUCUGUCUGAAAUGCUGAUUUUUUUUUUUCCUCUGCUCCUGGAACAACUCUGGGCCAUUCCCUUUUUUAUCUUAAUUUGCUGGGUUCUCUUUGCAUAAUAGAUCAUCUUUGUCCGAAAAGCCGUGCCAACAGCCCCUCCCAGUGCCAUUCAUACACAGUAUGUGUCUUGCCCCGAGUCCUGUCACAUGAUGUUUCCCAUGUUAGGUGUGGUGCUGAAUGUGCUAAACAGAACUCUUAGACACAAAGGGGAAAUGACCAAAACCCAUGGCCUUAAAUUCAUGGCUCUCUACCAGCCCCUUCAUGCAGAACUCCCAUCAAAAGUCAGUAUUUCUGUGCAUCCAGUGCUGGCAGGACCAAACCCUUAAAGUCAGGUAACAUUCAGAUCCCCAGUACAGUAUUUGUGGCAUCAGUGGGGUGAAUUCAUCUGCAUUUCAAGGCAGAAUGCAUUCAUCUGUACUUUCUCCUGCCUUUUGUUCGCAAAAAAAAAACCAACAAAAAACCCCACAUUAGCAGAGCCAUGUUACUGCUUCCUGCUUCUGUUGUUUAGUGUUUUGCAGCUACCACGGCUGGCCAAGAAGCUGUAAAUCUUGCCUGGUGUUCUGUAACAAAGAGAAAAAUAGAAUGAUUUGUGUUGACUUUUGGUCAUCGUGUAUCAUUAUCGAUCCGAGGGAGGGCGGCGGGGGAACGCGUUACCGUGUAUCUGUUGCUCGCCAGUUCUCCGGGAAGGCGGCGUUACCCAGCAGUCAGUAGAGGGCAAUAGAGAAAUACAGUUUUGCGAUGCCUAAAGGAUUUAAAGCCCUGAUUAUGUGUUUACAGAAAAGAAAAAGAAGAAAAGAAGAGCCAGGAGGAUAGGUUGUUCAGUUUACUACCGGAGACCUGACUGUGACAGACUACCAAGGAAACAAAAUUUUCUAAGAGAGUAAAGAAGACCCUCUGCAGCAUUUGCAAGGGUCUCCUUUUUUUCUUCAGAGUUACGUGGGAUAACUUAGCCAGAACUUAUUGAUGUCUGCAUGUUCAGUGGACUCGGGAAUGGACUGGGAGAUGCAGAAAGGCACUCUUUGGAAGGAACAGAAGAGGAGGCAUUUCAAAAAUCCUGCAGGUGACCGAGGUGAUGAUCUGCUGACAGAAUAAAUAAAUCAUAGAUAGUACUGAGACUGCUCAGCCAUUUGCUGUGGUAUCACUUCUACAUAAGGCUAGGUCUGGGCCUGUGCCUUCCUCAUCAGCAUGCCUAUUAAUGUCAAGACUGAGGACAUGAGAAGGAUGAGAUGACCAGCGCACAGCAGUGAAAAAGAUGCCAGUAGAAGCAUCAAGACCAAAAGUGAUCAGACUUCAGACAGAGAAGGAGUAGGAAAAUUGCUGAGGUCUCCACACAGGUGUCUGAUAACAGUCCCACCAAGGUGGAAGUCAAACUGUCUCACAACUCAGCCUCUUCUCCCUAGUGCCUGUGGAGACAGCUUCCAGCACGACACAUCCCAUCUUUGCCUCUCCAGAGUAUGGGACUGCUUGCAUCGUUCUCUGAAGGGUCUAAUGCUGGUACUUCUACACACUAGGCUGUUUCCUUUCAGGAAGUUUCUUCUACAUGUUCUGCAGACUGCUGGUACUGAUGACGAUAAUGAAGAGGCCACUCAUUAGGAGAGAGGCUUUUUAGUGAUCAGUCUUUCCACUUACUUCAGGAAUACUGUUGAAAAAGCUUUCAGCAUUACUGAGCAACAACCAGAGUUCCCAGCAACACUGCGUUGGACAGCCCUGCUUGCUGGAAGAAGGUGAAGAAGGAGCUUCCUACUUGGGUACCUUGGGAGGGAAGUGACCGUUGUGGGUGGAGGCGUGCAGACAACACACCCAAAGUCCCACUGCUUUCCUGUGCAGGGAAAUCCUUCAGCUUGACUGGAGUCAGAGGAAACCUGGUCUCUGUCCCCACACAAGGUCACACUGCAGUCCUGGGAAUCAAUUUUCCUGGAUAAACCAGAGGUUUCCUCCCAGUGGACACUCCUUUGCUCUCUUUCUCUAGCAAGCAGCUUUGAUUCAGGAAACUUUUUCUGCUGAUUGGGUAUCAGCUGAUUGUUACUGGAGUGCUGGGGUACUGGAGAGUUGGAUGAUGAAAUGCCUCACCUGUGGCUGCCCAAUCUCAUGCUGCUUCCUCUCUUCAAUAAUGCUCCCACACAGACAUCCAUUUACUUAUCUAACCAUGGGCUAACUUUUUGUCUGGUUUUUUUUUGAGCUGUUGUGGGAUUUGUUUCCAGUAGGCGUAUUACUUGAUUAAUGACCUUUCUGUUAACACUUGCUCAUAUUCCAUAUGGGAUCUUCUUGGGCUAUCUAAAUGCACAAAAUACUUAAACUAAUUUUUUUUCUCAGCUCAUCUCUGUUUUUAAUAACACAAUUUUUUUCUCCUACCUCCAAAGAAAAAAGAGCAUUUUCUAGCUUGCUCAAGCUCACGUUGAAUGUUUCUUGUGAUUCAUGUUGUCACUUAUGCAGUAUUCCAAGAAAACAGAGCAUGGACAGGCUCUGUCAGGAAGGGUUUUGUAAUCUAUUUGUCAUUUCUUUUCUGUAUAGAUUAAGGGCUAAAUUUUGUGAUGGCAGAUGAAUUUGUAGACCCCAUCUCCUUGAAAUCACGCCAGCUAUUCAAAAGAGAGAAGCUGCUUUUCUUUCAACCCAUGACGGUAGCGCUUUCCUGGAUGCAAGUUGAAAAAUAUUUACAUCAUUAUAAAUAAGCAGGGUGUAACUAUAAAUAAAGAACACGGGUAAUAAAGUGUUAUCAUUGAAGUUGAAAUUAAAAUUGGAUCCUGCCAAGUCCUAAACAUAGAUCAUGACAGAAAAAUCCAAUAAGGUUUGUUUGUUUGUUUGUUUGUAGGUGCUGUAAUUAUAGACUAGAUAAAGGAAAGAAAAGAUUAUACAGCAGACAUAAUUUGUAAUGAUUACAGUAACAUUUCUGAUGCAAUACCAUGAAAAGAAUGACUACUUGUGCAUGGCAUCCACACGUGCAUCUACAUCCCUCCUCAGGGAGGUACCCUCUGCAGCACUCACCUCAUAACCUGAGACAUGUCACAGCCUGUAUGACCAUGGGCUAUGUGACCACAGACUGUAUGACCGCAGGCCUGUUUCCAAAGAGUGUGCUCUGGUGGGCACUGGGUGACUCCUGCUAGGGUUGUCCCUGAACCUGACCCCAUGCAGCUAGAUCCCCCCACCCAGGGGAGCCCCUGUUGUAUGGUAAAUAAAGAAGCCCUGGAGUAGAGGGAUGUUUCGACUGUCUCUAAAUGCAAGACGUUCAUCUUGAAUUAAGUUACUUCUUUAUCACCGGGGUUUGAUCCGAGCACUGUGCCCUCCACUGGCAGAGCAGGAAAAGAUUUGCAUCCAUUGGGAACAUGGACCGUUGUGAAAAAGUGCAGUUGGGCGCAGAAAAGCCCUGAGAGAUGUUCAUGCAAAAACAGAAAGCAUUUCGUUUUAGUUACCAAGAGUGAAGUCUCUUGUUACCUUUCUGGAAACCAAGGCUUGAGGCCAAAAGCAAUUUCUUGUACUUCAAUAACUGAAAAUAAAGCCUUAAAAAAGAACAUGUCAGGGAAUUAAAUGAGAACCACAAGUUUAGCUGGGCUAGUGAUUGCCCUGGAGAAUAUUGAGGUGAAAUGUAUAGAAAAGAGGGGGUUAGAGACACAGUUAAGUGAAUUACUAGUCCCAUCUGUAACACCUGUCAUAGUCCUGACUGCUGGGUAUUUACUUUCAAAGAAAUCAGCUUGCACUACUGUUUGAUGAAGAGCCCUAAAUCAGGUGUAGAGGUGCAAUUACUGAAAAUGAAUCUGUCAGAGCAAAUCUCAGGUAAUCAAGGAGUCCUGUUUGGGCUCCCCUCCUGUACCCAUCCAUGCCUUAGGGAUAACUGAAACCAAUGUUCCUCAAAUCUAUUGGGAAUGAGCAACACAGAUACAAGGUAGACUUACUAAGAAGGUUAAAGAAACUUUAACAUGUUUGCCACAGGCUGAUAAUGGCAUCUGGGAGUCAGCCAUCCACAGGGGCAUGUCAAAUGGUGUUUGUAUCUCCUUGAAAAGAAUCAGGAUUAUUUUAGUGCCAAACAGAAGACAUAAUCUGAUGCAAUUUUCAGAAGCACCAUCAGCCCCUGAUAGACAACAUAUGCCCACAGCUUCUCACGCCUUCCUGCAGUAGCGGGUAUGUUCUGAUAGGGUUUCAGUGCGCAGUGCAUGACAGAUGAUUUGAAAACUGAGUAUUCUUGAGGAAUGGGCAUGAGACUCGUUUGAUUCUCUGAACUCAGUCCAUUGACUAGUGUCCCUGAGCAAAGAUGUUUUUUUCAUUAACUAGAUCUCUGUUUGGUUGUGCCUUUCUUAUUAUAGAUGAGAUUCCCCCCAGCUUGUCUUUCGUCUUUAAGCUAUGCAAGUUUCUGUAGAAAAUUAUGCAUGAAUAUAUAAAAGGCUCUGGACAAUAUCAAGAAAUGAGUAUGCUAACAUUUUUGUUUCUUGGACACAUUUUGGUUGGGUUUAGUUUUUUGUU